RNAcentral lists this ribosomal RNA (253 nucleotides) under uncultured bacterium. Its description in RNAcentral is "partial 16S ribosomal RNA". It matches the Rfam family "Bacterial small subunit ribosomal RNA", at positions 524 to 776 of the family's 1533-position model. The record is from RNAcentral.
UACGUAGGGGGCAAGCGUUGUCCGGAAUCAUUGGGCGUAAAGAGCGUGUAGGCGGUUCGGUAAGUCGGCUGUGAAAGUCCAGGGCUCAACCCUGGGAUGCCGGUCGAUACUGCCGGACUAGAGUUCGGAAGAGGCGAGUGGAAUUCCUGGUGUAGCGGUGGAAUGCGCAGAUAUCAGGAGGAACACCAAUAGCGAAGGCAGCUCGCUGGGACGGUACUGACGCUAAGGCGCGAAAGCGUGGGGAGCGAACAGG